GGGGAGGGCCAUCAUGGAGGGGGAACUAUGAAGAAGAUGUAAUGAGAGGAUCCUGAAGAAGGGUCCUGUGGCGAGAGAAUCACUGCUAUGAGGUCAGUCUGGGUCUGCAGUCAGAGGCUGUUGUUGGAACCUGUAGCCAUGGUCUAGCUAGGUAAAAGCCUGCAGUGAGAGUCUGCAAACUGAUCCCUGCAGUCGGAGUUUAGCAGGAAAUAACCAGCAGUCAGAACCUACAAGGGAAACCUCCAGUAGGAGCUUGCUGCAGCCGGAGUCAGUGGAUAGCUGGAGUCGGGAUGGCUGAGCUGUACAGAGGACUAAACCAGGAUCCUUUUCAUGCUGUGACAAACAAGUAGUCUGUGUCUUGGCUCACUUUUACCAUCUAACAAGAGGGCUGCUGCAACAGAAAAGGUCAAGAAAGAGAGUCCAGUGGAGCACUGGAUCACACCAGAAGAAAGUUUCUGCCACUUUUUGCAUUCUCAGUAGAUUUUCCUAUGCCAGGGAAGACUGUCCUUCUCCUUCUCUCCGACAAACCAAACCAGCUCUCUCAGGUGCAGACAUCUGCUUCUUUAAAAGAAAUUGACCCUUCUGAUGUUUAUGCCAUGAAAAAAUAACGAUUUCUUUGGGGAAAAGUUGAUGUAUAUUCCCUGCUUCUUAAUGCCAACCCGCAGAGUCAAAACAAACUGGGAUAUACUGGAAUAUGCACUAAUCCAUCGCUGCAUCUGCUGCACACUGUGACGUGAUGGAGAAAUGUAAUUUUGGGUCCUAAAUUUUCAUUUCAAACAUUAUAUGUAAAUACAGUCAUAAAUAUGUAUCAAAUGGAAACAGGUCAUCUCUAAGAUUUAAGGAACCAUAUAGUCUCAAUGUAUUGAGCUACCUCAUAAUAGAGAAAUGAAGGUAAAUUAAAAACAGGUAGCAAUUCAGAAAGUUAAAAAUAGUCAUCCAAAGUUUAAACCUCUUGAGAAGGCUUUGAAAAAGCUAACAAUAGAGCCCCUGUAAAACAUAACAAAAUAAAAAUAGAUGCUGUAGUUGCUGGAUAAAAAUAGUGUAGAUUUAAUGCUUCUUCAAACAGAUGGCUUUAAAACUUGAGAUGACAAAUUAUGAUUUGUUCAGCCCAAAAAGAAGUCUUCCAUAGGCUCUGUGAAUUGUAAUAACAGUGUUAGAGAUGACCUUGAGAAGGGUUUAGACCAUUCAGACACUUUUUUUUUCUUUUUUUUUUCUUUUUUUUUGUGAAUUGAAGUCUAGUAUUAAAACCAAAAUAAAACAGGGAAAACAAAAUUAAGUAUUAGAAAUUUGUAUUGCCUAAGGACUUUGCUAAGAUGUAAUUUCUUGUCCUAGAAGUAGUGGUAGGUGAAACAGAAGAAAUCUUGUCUUUGAUGCAUUUUAAUUCUUUCAGUGUAGUAUUUUCAGUCAGGGUUCACCACAUUCAUCAUUCUCCAAAAGAAACAGCCCACUCUACCAGAGAAUUUAAAUUUAUUUUCUGCUGGUGUGUCACUCUUGUUUCAAAUAUGGAGGUGGAGGAAGGAAUGAAGUAGCCAUCCAUACGUACUUUUGUUUUCAGAUGUUGCCAUACUUAAAAGUGCAAACCCAUUUCUUGAAUGUAGACAAAGAUAAACCUCUUCUGAAGAUUUUCCAGAAUGACUUUUCCCACCAAAAUUAUCCGUUAACAGGCUCGUAGGUAGAAAUAAUGACCAGCAAAGCAUUUAAUACUCUCUACACCAGUCCUUUGCCAAUGACCUUGUAAUGCAACAGGAAUUCCCUAAAGAAUGGUACAAAUUAUGGACAUGAUUCAUUUUGUGCUGCUCCAGCCAUAUUCUGCUGCAAACCCAGGUUGAUUUAUUAGUUGUAUGAGACUGAAAUAUUUUAGUUUUAAGUAACCUGUUAUCUUAGAUAAGUAAGUUAAUAAGUAAAUAAAAUACACUCAGGUGUCUGUUUUGUUAAAAAAAAACCCCAAACAAAAAAACACUGAAACAACAAACACUUGUAAAAUUAACCUCUGCCAUGUAUGGACUUUCUUAUGUUCAAAUUAAGUAAGUUACAAUAAUGAUUGCAUAUAUAUGAAUAGCUUAAUGUUUCUAUAGCAACUAUCUUUAAGAAAGCUUUACAAGCAUUAAUUAUUAAUAAUAAUAUUUAUUAUUCUUGUGCCUAAGGAAUAGCCAGUCUCAUGGUGUCCAGCAAGUUAAAGAACUGAAUUAUUGAGACUGUGCUAGGAUGAGGGCCAGGAAAUCUUUAAACAUUCUGGAUAGAUGGUAUUGUUCCUGAAUUUUACCUUUUUUGAGUGGUGAUAGAAUCAGAAGGGUUAUAAUUAACUUGGGAAAUGAUUUGUCUCUGCUGCAGCAGGCUCUCAUUGUGUGUACAGCAGCACCUUGCUCUAUGCUCAGCACUGGUCUCUCCAUUCAAGUAAAAAAUAACAAAGGAAUCAACUGCUGUAAUAUAUCUCACAGGCCUGAAUUUAGUGCAAAUUGAAGAGACAAGGUAAGAAGUGAAAAGAGUAAGGUAAAUCAGAUGAAAUAAAUAGAUCUGUGAGACCAGAGGAGGGACAGGUCUGGAAGAAACCAUCAUUCAGCACAAAGUCCCAAGAAAAUUGUUCCUUAUCAGCUUCACAUUUGUCCUUCCUUGGCUGUGAAAUUUGAUUCUGCUUUCUGAGUCACAUCCAGUAAAUAACUUGAUGCCCUUUUCCUAUUUGUUCACACCACUAACUGGAAUGGAAAAGGCAUCAUGGUAGAAAAUGAAUUGCCAGUGGGACAGAAUGUGGGCUACAGUAUAUUACAGAUGUGCCUUGUCUUGUUCACUAAGCUGAAGUGUUGCCCUGAGAUUUGAAUGUCUGAAAUUAAAACUCUGCCAGUGUAUACUUUGCUUUUUCUAUUUUAAGAACAUGUGAAGAUAUUAUUCUCAUUGGAAAUUGCUUGUUAAUGGCAACCACCCAGCUGCCAUAAGAAAUGGGUUCUAGCACAGCCAGAACAUGAAAAUGGCUGUGCUAAUGAGUCAGGCACAAGUUUCAUCUUUGGAUCCAUAUUGUGUCUGUGGUCAAAAUCAGAUGCCAAAGGAAAGGUAUAACAGGGAAAUAUGUGAUGUUGUCCUCACACUGCUAAAUAUUUCACUACAUUAGAGAAAAUUCUCUUGCAUGGCCACAGGAGCAGCUUCAGUAUCCAGUUCCUCAAA
Hirundo rustica (Barn swallow) is the source of this 3156-nucleotide long non-coding RNA. RefSeq lists it as uncharacterized. NCBI's taxonomy places the organism in Eukaryota, Metazoa, Chordata, Aves, Passeriformes, Hirundinidae. The record is from RefSeq and is a predicted model, not a curated record. The transcript has 3 exons.